GUGCAAACAUGGAAAAGGGGAAAGCCUUACAUUUGACCCCUGUAAGUUUGCAAAAACCCAUAAAACCUGUACAUUGGGGGCACUGUUGUAAUCGGAAAAUUUUGCUGAACACAUAUUGGGGUGUUCUUUGUCAAUAUCACAUAACAGGAACUGAGAAUUCAUGCCUAAAGUACAACGUGAGAGAAAAAAAAACACAAAAAAAUUACUAUUCAAAGGUUUGACAAAGACUGGUGGUAGAAUUAGUGUAUGCAAAGUGUUAAAAUACUACCAUUUGAAAUACCCUAGGGUGUCUACUUUUUAAAAAUAUAUGGUUU
This is a non-coding RNA of Pelobates cultripes (western spadefoot toad), 314 nucleotides long. NCBI's taxonomy places the organism in Eukaryota, Metazoa, Chordata, Amphibia, Anura, Pelobatidae. The record is from the annotation of a GenBank genome assembly.